Pan troglodytes (chimpanzee) is the source of this 104-nucleotide small nucleolar RNA. It matches the Rfam family "Small nucleolar RNA U13". The record is from Rfam. NCBI's taxonomy places the organism in Eukaryota, Metazoa, Chordata, Mammalia, Primates, Hominidae.
AUCCUUUUGGGGUUGAUAGGUGUGAUGAUUGGGUUUCUAUGCAUGUGUGUGACAUGUGUCUCCCUCAAAGCUUGUUACCACAUCCGUACAGCACCCAUAGGAUG